AACGCACAUUGCGCCCGCCGGCACUCCGGCGGGCAUGCCUGUCCGAGCGUCAUUUCAACCCUCAGGCCCACCCUUCCGGGGGAGCGGGCCUGGUUCUGGGGAUCGGCGGCCCUCGCGGCCCCCGUCCCUCGAAUUCAGUGGCGGUCGCGCCGCAGCCUCCCCUGCGUAGUAGCACAACCUCGCACCGGAGAGCGGAACGACCACGCCGUAAAACACCCAAUUUUUUAAGGUUGACCUCGGAUCAGGUAGGAAUACCCGCUGAACUUAA
Molecule: unclassified non-coding RNA, 268 nt
Filed under: Mortierella sp.
Lineage: Eukaryota; Fungi; Mortierellomycota; Mortierellomycetes; Mortierellales; Mortierellaceae
Description: partial contains 5.8S ribosomal RNA, internal transcribed spacer 2, and large subunit ribosomal RNA
Source: RNAcentral